UAACGCGUGAGAAACCUGCCUAGAAGUGGGGGAUAACACUCCCAACGGGGUGCUAAUACCGCAUGUGAUGUGAGUGUCGCAUGGCACACACAAGAAAGAUGGCCUCUGCUUGCAAGCUAUCGCUUCUGGAUGGUCUCGCGUCCGAUUAGCUUGUUGGUGGGGUAAAAGCUCACCAAGGCGACGAUCGGUAGCUGGUCUGAGAGGAUGGUCAGCCACACUGGGACUGAGAUACGGCCCAGACUCCUACGGGAGGCAGCAGUCGAGAGGCUUUGUCAAUGGGGGAAACCCUGAACAAGCGACGCCGCGUGGGGGAUGAAGGCCUUUGGGUUGUAAACCCCUUUCAGUAGGGACGAAAGUUAUGCGGGUGAAUAAUCCGUGUAGUUGACGGUACCUACAGAAGAAGCUCCGGCUAACUCCGUGCCAGCAGCCGCGGUAACACGGGGGGAGCGAGCGUUGUUCGGAAUCACUGGGCGUAAAGGGCGUGUAGGCGGUUCGGUAAGUGAGAUGUGAAAGCCCCCGGCUCACCCGGGGAUGUGCAUUUCAUACUGCCGAACUUGAGUACGGAAGAGGAUGGGGGAAUUCCUGGUGUAGCGAUGAAAUGCGUAGAUAUCAGGAGGAACACCGGUGGCGAAGGCGCCCAUCUGGUCCGUUACUGACGCUGAGGCGCGAAAGCUAGGGGAGCGAACGGGAUUAGAUACCCCGGUAGUCCUAGCCGUAAACGGUGGGCACU
This 730-nucleotide ribosomal RNA is filed under the name uncultured bacterium. RNAcentral's name for it is "bacterial SSU rRNA". It matches the Rfam family "Bacterial small subunit ribosomal RNA", at positions 111 to 817 of the family's 1533-position model. The record is from RNAcentral.